Dalotia coriaria is the source of this 679-nucleotide long non-coding RNA. RefSeq lists it as uncharacterized. Lineage: Eukaryota; Metazoa; Arthropoda; Insecta; Coleoptera; Staphylinidae. The transcript has 2 exons. The record is from RefSeq and is a predicted model, not a curated record.
CAGCCAGUUUCGUUUCCGGCGCUGGCGUGCCCAGAUGUAUUUCGCGCGACGCAAAUUCGGUCAUCAAUCGACAUGUACUCGUAACAUGCAUAUGCUGUGUUUUGUGAACGCUUUUGAUGUUUAUAUUUUAAGUUACAAGAAUGCUGCGUUUUAUUGUCGGUUAUUGUGUGACGUUGUCGGUCGAUAGUCAGUUGGAUACAUAUUGCUGCCAUGUUGUUCCCCGUCCUUAGAAGGUCCCUUCGUGCUACUUCCUAUGAUUACCUGAUGCACCGGUAAAUUUGUAAACGUUAUUAGUUAUUACAUUAUACUUUCAUAUUUAUCUAAAAUUGCAUGUAACGUGAAUACCGUAACAACACAAAAUUGAUGCGUGCCGUCAGAUGCGACUUGGAUCUACCCGCAGAGUAUGGUCAUGCCAAUCAUCGGUUUAAUAACGUGAAAUUUUCCUUGCUCGCAUUUUUAUUUCAUAAAUCUGCAGGCUGUUUAACGUAUUUUCGUAGUUUGGCAAUUAAUUAUUGGGAGUAAUAUAUUUGUAAAAGACGAUUUAAUUUUCUUCCGCGUGUGUGCUUGAGUUGCCGUCGGCGGACACAUUUUGCCUUGCUUGUGGCGUAUCUAGAGAAGCGUCGCAAGGCAAAUUUCAAGAUCGCAAUAAAAUUCAUAUUGAUGUUUUAUUUAUUCACAA